GAUGAACGCUGGCGGCGUGCCUAAUACAUGCAAGUCGAGCGAACAGACGAGGAGCUUGCUCCUCUGACGUUAGCGGCGGACGGGUGAGUAACACGUGGAUAACCUACCUAUAAGACUGGUAUAACUUCGGGAAACCGGAGCUAAUACCGGAUAAUAUAUUGAACCGCAUGGGUCAAUAGUGAAAGACGGUUUUGCUGUCACUUCUAGAUGGAUCCGCGCCGCAUUAGCUAGUUGGUAAGGUAACGGCUUACCAAGGCAACGAUGCGUAGCCGACCUGAGAGGGUGAUCGGCCACACUGGAACUGAGACACGGUCCAGACUCCUACGGGAGGCAGCAGUAGGGAAUCUUCCGCAAUGGGCGAGAGCCUGACGGAGCAACGCCGCGUGAGUGAUGAAGGUCUUCGGAUCGUAAAACUCUGUUAUUAGGGAAGAACAAAUGUGUAAGUAACUAUGCACGUCUUGACGGUACCUAAUCAGAAAGCCACGGCUAACUACGUG
RNAcentral lists this ribosomal RNA (497 nucleotides) under uncultured bacterium. RNAcentral's name for it is "partial 16S ribosomal RNA". It matches the Rfam family "Bacterial small subunit ribosomal RNA", at positions 28 to 507 of the family's 1533-position model. The record is from RNAcentral.